GAUUGCUUUCCAAAGUGGCUGCACUGUUUUCUAUCCCCACUGGUAAAUGGCAGGAAAACAUCUAAGAAAGGAGGCUCCCCCCUUCCCUUGCAGGGUUACCAGCAAUUAAAAAGAAGUACUAGAGAGGCAAAUAUCGGCAGUAUACAUCUAAGCGCUGGUCGGAAAAGAAGGAACUCAGCCCAAGAACUUGCCCAAUCUGAUACUGGAGGUGCCACUCAAGAACCACUCCCUCCAAGAUGUUUUCCUGGAUUUCCUCAGCCUAAAGUAAUCCCUCUUUUUCCUGGCUAUACCAUCUGGAACAGAUGACUUCCAAGGACACCGUAGCAAAGAAAAAGAGAACUGGAAGCCCAUGUGCCUUAAUCGCUUCAUCCUAGAGGGCGCAGCAGUCUGGAAAUAGAAACAAUGGUGGUGGAUCAAUUCAAUUGAUCCAGAUUUGGAAGUUGCGUGGCAAGUGAGAAGGAUUUGGAUGGUAAUGGUGAGAAAGGAUUUGAAAUAAUUUAUCAAACCUGGUUCAGAUCAAUCCUGGUGCAUAAGUGACUAACAAGGAG
This 548-nucleotide long non-coding RNA is filed under the name Homo sapiens (human). RNAcentral's name for it is "HSALNT0408536". The record is from RNAcentral. Lineage: Eukaryota; Metazoa; Chordata; Mammalia; Primates; Hominidae.